Molecule: ribosomal RNA, 468 nt
Filed under: uncultured bacterium
Lineage: Bacteria
Description: partial 16S ribosomal RNA
Rfam family: Bacterial small subunit ribosomal RNA
Source: RNAcentral
GACGAACGCUGGCGGCGUGCUUAACACAUGCAAGUCGAACGGAAAGGCCCUGCUUUUGUGGGGUGCUCGAGUGGCGAACGGGUGAGUAACACGUGAGUAACCUGCCCUUGCCUUUGGGAUAACUUCCGGAAACUGGGGCUAAUACCGGAUAGGAGCUCCUGCUGCAUGGUGGGGGUUGGAACGUUUCGGCGGUUGGGGAUGGACUCGCGGCUUAUCAGCUUGUUGGUGGGGUAGUGGCUUACCAAGGCUUUGACGGGUAGCCGGCCUGAGAGGGUGACCGGACACAUUGGGACUGAGAUACGGCCCAGACUCCUACGGGAGGCAACAGUGGGGAAGAGUGCACAAUGGGCGGAAGCCUGAUGCAGCAACGCCGCGUGCGGGAUGACGGCCUUCGGGUUGUAAACCGCUUUCGCCUGUGACGAAGCGUGAGUGACGGUAAUGGGUAAAGAAGCACCGGCUAACUACGUG